This 1019-nucleotide long non-coding RNA is filed under the name Homo sapiens (human). Its description in RNAcentral is "HSALNT0306777". Lineage: Eukaryota; Metazoa; Chordata; Mammalia; Primates; Hominidae. The record is from RNAcentral.
AAGCACCUCACCCAUCUCAGUACUUCCCAAGCCACAGGACGGAGUGUGGGAGCGAAGCCCCUUCAUCAAAGCACCAGAAAGAUGUCAGCAGAAAAACAAACAGAUGGAACUUCGGACAGCCAAAUCCAGUGAGGUGUGAGCUAACCUCCCCACCCAGUCAUGUGCUUACACAUGGGAACAAAACCCAAGAGGGUGGCCAGCCUUCAGCCCAGUGCCCAGGGAUGAAACAUGGCCCAAGAAAUAACACCACCACCAUCAGCUGUCCAUGCUUCCACCUCAAGCACUGAGCAAGAUCCUCUGGCAAAUGACCUCACUGGGAGGUAAAGAGGAAAGCGCUAUUGUCAACUCCAUUCUUCAGAGUCUCACUCUAUCCCCCAAGCUGGAGUGCAGCGGCAGGAUCUCAGCUCAUUGCAACCUCUGCCUCCCUGGUUCAAGCGAUUCUCAUGCCUCAGCCUCCCAAGUAGCUGGGAUUACAGGCACGUGCUACCACACCCCACUAAUUUUGUAUUUUUAGUAGAGAUGGGGUUUUGCCAUGUUGGCCUGGCUGGUCUCGAACCCUUGACCCCAGGUGAUCCGCCUCGGCCUCCCAAAGUGCCAGAAUUACAAGCAUGAGCCACUGUGCCUGGCCUAAAUUUCCUAAUUAUUAUAGGGUCUACUCAAAUUAUAUAUUUCAUGUUGGGUGAGUUGCGGUAAUUUGUGUUUUUCUGAGGGAGUGGUUCAUUCAGCCUAAGGUGUCAAACUAUGUAUAUAGACUUGUUCAUAACAGUCUAUUAUUAUCCUUUUGAUAACUGCAGGGUCUGUAGUGAUAGCCCCUCUUUCAUUGCUGAUAUUGACAGUUUGUGUUUUCUCUCUGUUUUUGUCAGUUUUACUCUUAAAAUUGACUAUUUUAUUGACCUUUUCAAAAAAAAUAAAACCUCUGUUUCAUCAAUUUUCUCUAUUGUGUUUCUAUUUUCAAUUUCAUAGAUUUCAGAUAUUACCUUUAUUAUUUCCUUCAUUCUGUUUGCUUUGGGUUUAUUUUG